AUGGCUCAGUGAGGCCUUGGGAUUGGCCAGGGGAGAUGGGCGACCAUCACCCCAGGCCGAAAACUUGGUCAAACUUGGUCAUUUAGAGGAAGUAAAAGUCGUAACAAGGUUUCCGUAGGUGAACCUGCGGAAGGAUCAUUACCGAGUUAGGGUCUCCUCCGUGAGGCCCGACCUCCCAACCCUGUGUCUACUCAACUUGUACGUGUUGCUUCGGCGGACCAGCAGUCCCCCGCUUACCGCGGGGAACCGUCGCCGGGGGGGAAAAACGGUCCUCUGUGGCCGCCUCUGGAGAGCGUCCGCCGAUGGCCCAACCCAAACAACUCCCAAAUCCAAAUAAUAUUAUACCUAAACGUCUGAAUCAGACCAUUUUGAUACACCAAUCAAAAACAAAACUUUCAACAACGGAUCUCUUGGUUCUGGCAUCGAUGAAGAACGCAGCGAAAUGCGAUAAGUAAUGCGAAUUGCAGAAUUUCCGUGAGUCAUCGAAUCUUUGAACGCACAUUGCGCCCUUUGGCAUUCCGAAGGGCAUGCCUGUUCGAGCGUCAUUAUCCUCUCUCAAACCUCGUGUUUGGUGUUGGGCCGCGUUGGACCACCCGUGGCCAACUGGUCUCAAAGACAAUGACGGCGUCUGAAGGACCCUCUUCGCACUGAGCUUUCUCCGAGGCACGCGUGGAGUUGAAAGGACCCAAGGACCCGGUCACCUCUUAUUUUCUUUUAAGGUUGACCUCGGAUCAGGUAGGAAUACCCGCUGAACUUAAGCAUAUCAAUAAGCGGAGGAAAAGAAACCAACAGGGAUUGCCUCAGUAACGGCGAGUGAAGCGGCAACAGCUCAAAUUUGAAAUCUGGCCUUUAUGGUCCGAGUUGUAAUUUGUAGAGGAUGUUUUGGGCACCGCUCCGGGUUAAAUUUCUUGGAACAGAAUGUCAAAGAGGGUGAGAGUCCCGUCUUGGCCCGCGGUAGGACCUAUGUAAAACUCCUUCGACGAGUCGACUUGUUUGGGAAUGCAGGUCCAAAUGGGUGGUAAAUUUCAUCUAAAGCUAAAUAUUGGCCAGAGACCGAUAGCGCACAAGUAGAGUGAUCGAAAGAUGAAAAGCACUUUGAAAAGAGAGUUAAACAGUAUGUGAAAUUGUUGAAAGGGAAGCGCUGGCAACCAGACUCGAGCGCGGUGUUCCCCUUGGCUUCUGCCUUGGUUAUUUCACCGUGACCGGGCCAUCAUCAGUUUCGGGGGUUGGUUAAAGAUCUAGGGAAUGUAUCCUCUCUUUCGGGGGAGGACUUAUAGCCCUGGAUGUCAUGCAGCCUCCCGGGACUGAGGAACGCGCUUCGGCGAGGAUGAUGGCGUAAUGGUUGUCAGCGACCCGUCUUGAAACACGGACCAAGGAGUCUAACAUCUAUGCGAGUGUUCGGGUGUCAAACCCUUGCGCGGAAUGAAAGUGAACGGAGGUAGGAAGGCCUGAGCCUGCACUAUCGACCGAUCCUGAUGUCUUCGGAUGGAUUUGAGUAAGAGCAUAGCUGUUGGGACCCGAAAGAUGGUGAACUAUGCGUGAAUAGGGUGAAGCCAGAGGAAACUCUGGUGGAGGCUCGCAGCGGUUCUGACGUGCAAAUCGAUCGUCAAAUUUGCGUAUAGGGGCGAAAGACUAAUCGAACCAU
This 1645-nucleotide ribosomal RNA is filed under the name Chaetothyriales sp. MP-2014. RNAcentral's name for it is "eukaryotic LSU rRNA". The stretch from base 722 to 1645 matches the Rfam family "Eukaryotic large subunit ribosomal RNA", at positions 1 to 943 of the family's 3401-position model. The record is from RNAcentral. Lineage: Eukaryota; Fungi; Ascomycota; Eurotiomycetes; Chaetothyriales.